CUGAGGAUGUAACGAACAAUUUGUAAAAAGAAUUUUGUCGCUAUCUUUUUUUGUUACGAAGGAGAUGCACACACAUGAUAAACAGUGAAUAGGGAGAUAACUCUUACAAAGAAAAUGGUUCGGCUUAGCAGGGUGAAAUUUAAAAGCGCAUAAACUAUACGAUACAAUAUGAGAAAUAUCUAAGCGACAUAUUGCGAAACAAACAUUUAUCGCAAGAACAAAAUUUGGCGGAAAAAAAAAAAAAUAAUAAUAAUAAUCAGAACAAAUACAAUAA
Molecule: long non-coding RNA, 274 nt
Filed under: Mytilus galloprovincialis (Mediterranean mussel)
Lineage: Eukaryota; Metazoa; Mollusca; Bivalvia; Mytilida; Mytilidae
Source: RNAcentral